CACUAUUUUAAAUGAGCACACAUGAAUUAUAGAUCACAGGCAGCUCCGACCUGAAGCUCCUCCUAAUGACCCCUGUCCGUCCGUCUCAGCCAGGACUUCUCAUCAAUUCACUCGCUCACCGGAGGCGUUACGAGCGGCCUUUCAUCAGCGGCCCUGACGGACGGAUGAUGAAACAAAGCGUGGGAGAUGAAACGCUCCCUAAUCCCCAACAUGCAGCGGCGGUCAAAACAUCACAAAACCUGUAGAAGCCAUUUGGAGACACGCGGGCGCUGCAGGAGACGCGGCGUGACGUUCAGGUUCCUGGAGAAACGUCCGUCAUCGGAGGUUCGCACGGGGAUCUGCCGCCUGUGAGCGCAUCAUCAUCACGUCAUCACGUGCCAAAGCGCUGUUUCUGCUCGGAGUCAGAUUCAGCGUGAUGCAAGUACAUUAAAGCAACGACGUCGGAAGUGUGCUUAACUUUGAAACAGGAGACUCAAACUGUCUUUAAUCGAAACCGCCCAAGAUGUGAGUCGGUGCUGUCGGGUUCACUGUAUACUGGAACAGACACCAGGACUUUGUAAUGCCGAGUUUUGACCUGCUGUUAUCGGAACCCUCUGUGUCCACGUGCAAGAGGCUCGGUUCGGUGCCGCCGCGGCCCACGAGCUUCACCGGGCGCGUUCCUUUCUCAGGACAGAAUCCUGCACCGACGCGUGAGCGGAGGAUCGGUGGUUCUUCUCGUUACGGUUCAGUUCGGCGGAGUGGAGCCACCGCAUGGAGCCACAGCGACACCCAGCGGACAAACUGGGAACUGGCGCUAACGGAUCCUUUCAACACCUACUUUCUAAACUGCGUCUGGGUGAAACGAGGGACUCGUGGAGUCUGGAGAUAAAAUCUACAUAAAACACGGAGUUACAGGAUCAGUGUUAGAGCACAGCAGCCCUGAGCCGCGCGUGCGCGUGCGCGUGUGCGUGCGCUCCUUUGGCCUAGAGGUAAGUAAUCAGUUAGACUCCUGUUGGUUGUAGGUUCGAACCUGAUGUGCAGCUCCUUGACCUCGAGCGUAUUUUUGUUUUUAUCACAUACUAGAAAUGUUUGACCACAUAUGAAGAAGUGUUACUAUUACUCCAUGGCGGGUUAUACCUUUAUACCACACACUAUAUGAUGUAGAUUUGCUUUUUAGACUCAUGUUCUGUUGAACAGCGAUGCACAAACCACUUUCAGCAACAGAGAAAAGACACAGACAUGAAAUAAUUUUAUUGUUUAUAGUUUAUUGAGCCAGCGAGUAAAUGAUGAGGAUGUUUUAGGUUUUUCUUUUUUUAGGUGUAGUGAGGUCAUCAAUUACAUUUAACCACAAAGAUCCAUGAAGUUCCAAACCCACAUUAAUCCCCAGCAGCUCAGAGUGAAGCCUAUAAAGCGUCUGUACAUCCCUGACAAUUCAAAUAUUUAUGUUACCUUGUUUUCAGGUGCUGUUAAAACAAUACCAGUGUAACUUAAGCUAAUAAAGUUAUUGUUGUUGCUGUAACAUCAUGCUGAAAUAUUCAAACCAAGUUCUAAAAUUGCACUUUUAUUAAAAAUAUUUACAUAAAUCUUGA
Long non-coding RNA from Betta splendens (Siamese fighting fish), 1568 nucleotides. RefSeq lists it as uncharacterized. The record is from RefSeq and is a predicted model, not a curated record. The transcript has 2 exons. Lineage: Eukaryota; Metazoa; Chordata; Actinopteri; Anabantiformes; Osphronemidae.